RNAcentral lists this ribosomal RNA (465 nucleotides) under uncultured bacterium. RNAcentral describes it as "partial 16S ribosomal RNA". It matches the Rfam family "Bacterial small subunit ribosomal RNA", at positions 28 to 507 of the family's 1533-position model. The record is from RNAcentral.
GACGAACGCUGGCGGCGUGCUUAACACAUGCAAGUCGAACGGAAAGGCCCUGCUUGCAGGGUACUCGAGUGGCGAACGGGUGAGUAACACGUGGGUGAUCUGCCCUGCACUUCGGGAUAAGCCUGGGAAACUGGGUCUAAUACCGGAUAGGAGCCAUUUUUAGUGUGAUGGUUGGAAAGUUUUUUCGGUGUAGGAUGAGCUCGCGGCCUAUCAGCUUGUUGGUGGGGUAAUGGCCUACCAAGGCGGCGACGGGUAGCCGGCCUGAGAGGGUGGACGGCCACAUUGGGACUGAGAUACGGCCCAGACUCCUACGGGAGGCAGCAGUGGCGAAUAUUGCACAAUGGGCGCAAGCCUGAUGCAGCGACGCCGCGUGGGGGAUGACGGCCUUCGGGUUGUAAACGCCUUUCGCUAGGGACGAAGCUUUUUGUGACGGUACCUAGAUAAGAAGCACCGGCUAACUACGUG